Molecule: ribosomal RNA, 237 nt
Filed under: uncultured bacterium
Lineage: Bacteria
Description: partial 16S ribosomal RNA
Rfam family: Bacterial small subunit ribosomal RNA
Source: RNAcentral
CGGAACGGGUGAGUAACGCGUGAGGAACCUGCCUCAAAGAGGGGACAACAGUUGGAAACGACUGCUAAUACCGCAUAAGCCCACGGGUCGGCAUCGACCAGAGGGAAAAGGAGCAAUCCGCUUUGAGAUGGCCUCGCGUCCGAUUAGCUAGUUGGUGAGGUAAUGGCCCACCAAGGCAACGAUCGGUAGCCGGACUGAGAGGUUGAACGGCCACAUUGGGACUGAGACACGGCCCAG